UCUCGGUUCUCAUUGUGCUGGGCAUUGUAGUACGUGUGCAGCCCUAGGCGUAAGGGCCAUACUGACCUGACGUCGUCCCCACCUUCCUCCCAGUUGAUCUGGGCAGUCUGACUAGAGUCCCCGGCCGAACCGCUGGCAACUAAUCACAAGGGUUGCGCUCGUUGCGGGACUUAACCCAACAUCUCACGACACGAGCUGA
RNAcentral lists this ribosomal RNA (199 nucleotides) under uncultured bacterium. RNAcentral describes it as "partial 16S ribosomal RNA". The record is from RNAcentral.